RNAcentral lists this ribosomal RNA (253 nucleotides) under uncultured bacterium. Its description in RNAcentral is "partial 16S ribosomal RNA". It matches the Rfam family "Bacterial small subunit ribosomal RNA", at positions 524 to 776 of the family's 1533-position model. The record is from RNAcentral.
UACAGAGACCUCAAGCGUUAUCCGGAUUUACUGGGCGUAAAGCGUCCGCAGACGGCUUGGUGCGUCUUGCGUCAAAUGUUAGAGCUCAACUCUGACACUGCGUGGGAUACGGCCAAGCUCGAGGUUGGGAGAGGUAAGCGGAAUUGCCGGUGUAGUAGUAAAAUGCGUUAAUAUCGGCAAGAACACCAAUUGCGAAGGCAGCUUACUAGAACAAACCUGACGUUCAUGGACGAAAGCGUGGGGAGCGAAAGGG